GAUGAACGCUGGCGGCGUGCCUAACACAUGCAAGUCGAGCGGACGGACGAGGAUCUUGUUGCGCGGUUGUGAGCCGCGGGGGGGUGUGUAACGCGUGUAUAACCUACCUAUAAGACGGGGAUAACUUGGAGAAAGCGGAGCUAAUAGCGUAGAAUAUCUUGAACCGCAUGGGGCGAAAGUGAAAGACGGUCGUUCGGGCACGUAUAGAUGGAUACGCGCUUCAUUAGCUGGUUGGUAAGGUAACGGGUUACCAAGGCGACGAUGCAUAGCCGACCUGUGAGGCUGGUCGGCCACAGUGGAGGUGAGACGCGGACCAGACUCCUACGGGACGCAGCAGUAGCGAAUCUUACGCAACAGGGGAGAGCCUGACAGAGCAACCCGGCGUGAGUUAUGACGGUCUCCCGAUCGUAAAACCCUGUUACUAGGGAAAAACCGAUGUCUACGGAACCGAAGACAUCUUGACGGUACCUAAUAAGAAAGCCCCGGCUAACUACGUG
Molecule: ribosomal RNA, 497 nt
Filed under: uncultured bacterium
Lineage: Bacteria
Description: partial 16S ribosomal RNA
Rfam family: Bacterial small subunit ribosomal RNA
Source: RNAcentral